UGAGAGUUUGAUCCUGGCUCAGGACGAACGCUGGCGGCGUGCCUAAUACAUGCAAGUAGAACGCUGAAGAGAGGAGCUUGCUCUUCUUGGAUGAGUUGCGAACGGGUGAGUAACGCGUAGGUAACCUGCCUUGUAGCGGGGGAUAACUAUUGGAAACGAUAGCUAAUACCGCAUAACAAUGGAUGACACAUGUCAUUUAUUUGAAAGGGGCAAUUGUUCCACUACAAGAUGGACCUGCGUUGUAUUAGCUAGUAGGUGAGGUAAUGGCUCACCUAGGCGACGAUACAUAGCCGACCUGAGAGGGUGAUCGGCCACACUGGGACUGAGACACGGCCCAGACUCCUACGGGAGGCAGCAGUAGGGAAUCUUCGGCAAUGGGGGCAACCCUGACCGAGCAACGCCGCGUGAGUGAAGAAGGUUUUCGGAUCGUAAAGCUCUGUUGUAAGUCAAGAACGGGUGUGAGAGUGGAAAGUUCACACUGUGACGGUAGCUUACCAGAAAGGGACGGCUAACUACGUGCCAGCAGCCGCGGUAAUACGUAGGUCCCGAGCGUUGUCCGGAUUUAUUGGGCGUAAAGCGAGCGCAGGCGGUUUGAUAAGUCUGAAGUUAAAGGCUGUGGCUCAACCAUAGUUCGCUUUGGAAACUGUCAAACUUGAGUGCAGAAGGGGAGAGUGGAAUUCCAUGUGUAGCGGUGAAAUGCGUAGAUAUAUGGAGGAACACCGGUGGCGAAAGCGGCUCUCUGGUCUGUAACUGACGCUGAGGCUCGAAAGCGUGGGGAGCGAACAGGAUUAGAUACCCUGGUAGUCCACGCCGUAAACGAUGAGUGCUAGGUGUUGGAUCCUUUCCGGGAUUCAGUGCCGCAGCUAACGCAUUAAGCACUCCGCCUGGGGAGUACGACCGCAAGGUUGAAACUCAAAGGAAUUGACGGGGGCCCGCACAAGCGGUGGAGCAUGUGGUUUAAUUCGAAGCAACGCGAAGAACCUUACCAGGUCUUGACAUCCCGAUGCUAUUUCUAGAGAUAGAAAGUUACUUCGGUACAUCGGUGACAGGUGGUGCAUGGUUGUCGUCAGCUCGUGUCGUGAGAUGUUGGGUUAAGUCCCGCAACGAGCGCAACCCCUAUUGUUAGUUGCCAUCAUUCAGUUGGGCACUCUAGCGAGACUGCCGGUAAUAAACCGGAGGAAGGUGGGGAUGACGUCAAAUCAUCAUGCCCCUUAUGACCUGGGCUACACACGUGCUACAAUGGUUGGUACAACGAGUUGCGAGUCGGUGACGGCGAGCUAAUCUCUUAAAGCCAAUCUCAGUUCGGAUUGUAGGCUGCAACUCGCCUACAUGAAGUCGGAAUCGCUAGUAAUCGCGGAUCAGCACGCCGCGGUGAAUACGUUCCCGGGCCUUGUACACACCGCCCGUCACACCACGAGAGUUUGUAACACCCGAAGUCGGUGAGGUAACCUUUUGGAGCCAGCCGCCUAAGGUGGGACAGAUGAUUGGGGUGAAGUCGUAACAAGGUAGCCGUAUCGGAAGGUGCGGCUGGAUCACCUCCUUU
Molecule: ribosomal RNA, 1543 nt
Filed under: Streptococcus thermophilus LMD-9
Lineage: Bacteria; Bacillati; Bacillota; Bacilli; Lactobacillales; Streptococcaceae
Description: bacterial SSU rRNA
Rfam family: Bacterial small subunit ribosomal RNA
Source: RNAcentral